GAUGAACGCUGGCGGCGUGCCUAAUACAUGCAAGUCGAGCGAACAGAUGAGGAGCUUGCUCCUCUGACGUUAGCGGCGGACGGGUGAGUAACACGUGGAUAACCUACCUAUAAGACUGGGAUAACUUCGGGAAACCGGAGCUAAUACCGGAUAAUAUAUUGAACCGCAUGGUUCAAUAGUGAAAGACGGUUUUGCUGUCACUUAUAGAUGGAUCCGCGCCGCAUUAGCUAGUUGGUAAGGUAACGGCUUACCAAGGCAACGAUGCGUAGCCGACCUGAGAGGGAGAGCGGCAAGACGGAGACGGAGACACGGAACAGAAGACAACGGGAGGGAGCAGUAGGGAAUAUUCCGAAAUGGGCGAAAGCUUGACAGAGCAAGGCCGAGUGAGUGAUGAAGGUGUUCGGAUAGUAAAACUCUGUUAUUAGGGAAGAACAAAAGUGUAAGUAACUAUGCACGGCUUGACGGUACCUAAGCAGAAAGCCACGGCUAACUACGUG
This 497-nucleotide ribosomal RNA is filed under the name uncultured bacterium. Its description in RNAcentral is "partial 16S ribosomal RNA". It matches the Rfam family "Bacterial small subunit ribosomal RNA", at positions 28 to 507 of the family's 1533-position model. The record is from RNAcentral.